Molecule: ribosomal RNA, 446 nt
Filed under: uncultured bacterium
Lineage: Bacteria
Description: partial 16S ribosomal RNA
Rfam family: Bacterial small subunit ribosomal RNA
Source: RNAcentral
CCUACGGGUGGCUGCAGUCGAGAAUCAUUCACAAUGGGGGAAACCCUGAUGGUGCGACGCCGCGUGGGGGAAUGAAGGUCUUCGGAUUGUAAACCCCUGUCAUGUGGGAGCAAAUUAAAAAGAUAGUACCACAAGAGGAAGAGACGGCUAACUCUGUGCCAGCAGCCGCGGUAAUACAGAGGCCUCAAGCGUUGUUCGGGAUCACUGGGCGUAAAGCGUGCGUAGGCUGUUUCGUAAGUCGUGUGUGUAAGGCGCGGGCUCAACCCGCGGACGGCACAUGAUACUGGGGGACUAGAGUGAUGGAGGGGGAAGCGGAAUUCGCGGUGUAGCAGUGAAAUGCGUAGAUAUCGAGAGGAACACUCGUGGCGAAGGCGGGUUCCUGGACAUUAACUGACGCUGAGGCACGAAGGCCAGGGGAGCGAAAGGGAUUAGAUACCCCAGUAGUC